This 72-nucleotide transfer RNA is filed under the name Entomophthora muscae. Its description in RNAcentral is "tRNA-Thr". It matches the Rfam family "tRNA". From Rfam's summary of the family: Transfer RNA (tRNA) molecules are approximately 80 nucleotides in length. Their secondary structure includes four short double-helical elements and three loops (D, anti-codon, and T loops). Further hydrogen bonds mediate the characteristic L-shaped molecular structure. tRNAs have two regions of fundamental functional importance: the anti-codon, which is responsible for specific mRNA codon recognition, and the 3' end, to which the tRNAs corresponding amino acid is attached (by aminoacyl-tRNA synthetases). tRNAs cope with the degeneracy of the genetic code in two manners: having more than one tRNA (with a specific anti-codon) for a particular amino acid; and 'wobble' base-pairing, i.e. permitting non-standard base-pairing at the 3rd anti-codon position. Lineage: Eukaryota; Fungi; Entomophthoromycota; Entomophthoromycetes; Entomophthorales; Entomophthoraceae. The record is from RNAcentral.
GCCUCUUUAGCUCAGGGGUAGAGCGUUCCCCUAGUAAGGGAAAGGUCAGUGGUUCAAAUCCACUAAGAGGCA